Molecule: ribosomal RNA, 462 nt
Filed under: uncultured bacterium
Lineage: Bacteria
Description: partial 16S ribosomal RNA
Rfam family: Bacterial small subunit ribosomal RNA
Source: RNAcentral
GAUAAACGCUGGCGGCGUGCUUAACACAUGCAAGUCGAACGAAGUUUUUCUUUCGGGAGGAACUUAGUGGCGGACGGGUGAGUAACGCGUGGGUAACCUGCCCUGUACAGGGGGACAACAGCUGGAAACGGCUGCUAAUACCGCAUAAGCCCUUAGCACUGCAUGGUGCAUAGGGAAAAGGAGCAAUCCGGUACAGGAUGGACCCGCGUCUGAUUAGCCAGUUGGCAGGGUAACGGCCUACCAAAGCGAUGAUCAAUAGCCGAUCUGAGAGGAUGUACGGCCACAUUGGGACUGAGACACGGCCCAGACUCCUACGGGAGGCAGCAGUGGGGAAUAUUGCACAAUGGAGGAAACUCUGAUGCAGCGACGCCGCGUGAGUGAAGAAGUAUUUCGGUAUGUAAAGCUCUAUCAGCAGGGAAGAAAAUGACGGUACCUGACUAAGAAGCACCGGCUAAAUACGUG